AGCAGCCGCGGUAAUUCCAGCUCCAAUAGCGUAUAUUAAAGUUGCUGCAGCUAAAAAGCUCGUAGUUGAAUUUCGGGAUCGAUAUAUCGGUCGUGCCUCGGUACGUACUGGUAUUUUCGGUUUCUCCCUUCUGACGAACCUUGAUGUCAUUAAUUUGGUGUCUUGGGGAAUCAGGACUGUUACUUUGAAAAAAUUAGAGUGUUUAAAGCAGGCUCACGCUUGAAUACAUUAGCAUGGAAUAAUGAAAUAGGACGUUUGAUUCUAUUUUGUUGGUUUCUAGGAUCGACGUAAUGAUUAAUAGGGAUAGUUGGGGGCAUUAGUAUUCAAUUGUCAGAGGUGAAAUUCUUGGAUUUAUUGAAGACUAACUACUGCGAAAGCAUUUGCCAAGGAUGUUUUCAUUAAUCAAGAACGAAAGUUAGGGGAUCGAAGACGGUCAGAUACCGUCGUAGUCUUAACCAUAAACUAUGCCGACUAGGGAUCGGAUGAUGUUAAUUUUUUAAUGACUCAUUCGGCGCCUUAC
This 520-nucleotide ribosomal RNA is filed under the name uncultured Glomus. Its description in RNAcentral is "SSU rRNA". It matches the Rfam family "Eukaryotic small subunit ribosomal RNA", at positions 569 to 1091 of the family's 1831-position model. The record is from RNAcentral. Lineage: Eukaryota; Fungi; Glomeromycota; Glomeromycetes; Glomerales; Glomeraceae.